GAAAAAUUGGACAGCCAACACUGCAAGGGGUUGUGGAGAGAAACUAGACACAGCUUUUGCUUCCCUUUAAACAUUAACUAGUUUCAUUUUGUUUUAGAGUACCUAAAAUGGGCAUGGAAGGAAAACUCUCAUGUUUGUAGUAGAACCUAUGACGCUGAAGGUAUCAGGGGAAAAAAAUCAAAACAGAACAAUGUAAAACAAAGUGUACAUGUCAG
This is a non-coding RNA of Pelobates cultripes (western spadefoot toad), 215 nucleotides long. The record is from the annotation of a GenBank genome assembly. NCBI's taxonomy places the organism in Eukaryota, Metazoa, Chordata, Amphibia, Anura, Pelobatidae.